This 364-nucleotide ribosomal RNA is filed under the name uncultured eukaryote. RNAcentral's name for it is "partial 18S ribosomal RNA". It matches the Rfam family "Eukaryotic small subunit ribosomal RNA", at positions 592 to 976 of the family's 1831-position model. The record is from RNAcentral.
CAGAAGCGUAUAUUAAAGUUGUUGCAGUUAAAAAGCUCGUAGUUGAACCUUGGGCUUGGCUGGCCGGUCCAUCUUUUUUGAUGCGUACUGGACCCAGCCGAGCCUUUCCUUCUGGCUAGCCUUUUGGCGAACCAGGACUUUUACUUUGAAAAAAUUAGAGUGUUCAAAGCAGGCCUUUGCUCGAAUAUAUUAGCAUGGAAUAAUAGAAUAGGACGUUAUGGUUCUAUUUUGUUGGUUUCUAGGACCAUCGUAAUGAUUAAUAGGGACGGUCGGGGGUAUCAGUAUUCAGUUGUCAGAGGUGAAAUUCUUGGAUUUACUGAAGACUAACUACUGCGAAAGCAUUUACCAAGGACGUUUUCAUUAA